This 1095-nucleotide long non-coding RNA is filed under the name Citrus x clementina. RNAcentral's name for it is "Citrus clementina (C. clementina) long non-coding RNA (CCLE_LNC006112)". The record is from RNAcentral. Lineage: Eukaryota; Viridiplantae; Streptophyta; Magnoliopsida; Sapindales; Rutaceae.
GUUCGUCCAGCGGAAAAAGGCCACAAAAACGGGUGGGCUAUAGCCUUGGGGGGUGGGGCUGGCCAACUUUGUCCGCCGGACUCGGAAUGGCGCGAGACUUUGCGAGGCACCUCCGUGUGCCAAAAAUAGGCCGCGGGCACAGCCGCGUCCAAAAAUAACCACCCGAAGGCCGGGGUGCCAAGUUCGUCCAGCAGAAAAAGCCCACAAAAACGGGUGGGCUGUAGCCUUAGGGGGUGGGGCUGGCCAACUUCGUCCGCCGGACUCGGAAUGGAGAGAGACCUUGCUAGGUGCCUCCGUGUGCCAAAAAUAGGCCGCAGGCACAGCAGUGCUCAAAAAUACCCGCCCGAAGGGCGGGGCGCCAAGUUCGUCUAGCGGAAAAAGGCCACAAAAACGGGUGGGCUAUAGCCUUGGGUGGUGGGGCUGGCCAACUUCGUCCGCCGGACUCGGAAUGGCGCGAGACUUUGCGAGGCACCUCCGUGCACCAAAAAUAGGAAAAGGACUAAGCCGCGCCCAAAAAUAACGCCCGAAGGUCGUGGCGCCAAGUUCGUCCAGCGGAAAAAGGCCACAAAAACGGGUGGGCUAUAUAGCCUUGGGGGGUGGGGCUGGCCCACUUCGUCCGCCGGACUCGGAAUGGGGCGAGGCGUUGCAAGGCACCUCCGUGUGCCAAAAAUAAGCCGCGGGCACAGCCGCGCCCAAAAGUAACCGCCCGAAGGCCGGGGCGCCAAGUUCGUCCAGCGGAAAAAGGCCACAAAAACUGGUGGGCUAUAGCUUUGGGGGGUGGGGCUGGCCCACUUCGUCCGCCGGACUCGGAAUGGGGCGAGGCGUUGCAAGGCACCUCCGUGUGCCAAAAAUAAGCCGCGGGCACAGCCGCGCCCACAAAUAACGCCCGAAGGUCGUGGCGCCAAGUUCGUCCAGCGGAAAAAGGCCACAAAAACGGGUGGGCUAUAGCCUUGGGGGGUGGGGCUGGCCAACUUUGUCCGCCGGACUCGGAAUGGCGCGAGACUUUGCGAGGCACCUCCGUGUGCCAAAAAUAGGCCGCGGGCACAGCCGCGUCCAAAAAUAACCACCCGAAGGCCGGGGUGCCAAGUUCGUCCA